UUGGAGACUUUGAAGACUUCUACUUACAUACUUGAAGUCUUACCUUUAUACUUGGAGGAUUUGAUACUUCAACUUGCAUACUUGGAGGAUUUGGGUAUUUCAAAU
RNAcentral lists this microRNA precursor (105 nucleotides) under Solanum lycopersicum (tomato). RNAcentral describes it as "MIR8024 microRNA precursor family". It matches the Rfam family "MIR8024 microRNA precursor family". Lineage: Eukaryota; Viridiplantae; Streptophyta; Magnoliopsida; Solanales; Solanaceae. The record is from Rfam by way of RNAcentral.